GGGCCGGUGGUCUAGAGGCAUGACGUCUGCCUUACGCGCAGAAGGUCGCAGGUUCGAAUCCUGCCCGGCCCA
This 72-nucleotide transfer RNA is filed under the name Nitrososphaeria archaeon. RNAcentral describes it as "tRNA-Val". It matches the Rfam family "tRNA". Rfam says of the family: Transfer RNA (tRNA) molecules are approximately 80 nucleotides in length. Their secondary structure includes four short double-helical elements and three loops (D, anti-codon, and T loops). The record is from RNAcentral. RNAcentral also lists the same sequence under 1 other name. Lineage: Archaea; Thermoproteati; Nitrososphaerota; Nitrososphaeria.